Magallana angulata is the source of this 155-nucleotide long non-coding RNA. RefSeq lists it as uncharacterized. The record is from RefSeq and is a predicted model, not a curated record. The transcript is spliced from 2 exons. NCBI's taxonomy places the organism in Eukaryota, Metazoa, Mollusca, Bivalvia, Ostreida, Ostreidae.
GGGGACUCUGGUAUCCUUGGAAAAUAAACGCAAACAGCUUAUGGGAGCUCAGAAAUGUCUUUCGAGCAGUCAGAAAAACUAACAUCACCUAGCAACUUCUGCAAAACAUUUUCUGGCAACAUGCAUUACAAAAUAAAAUAGAAUAUAUACUUUUA